This 307-nucleotide unclassified non-coding RNA is filed under the name plant metagenome. RNAcentral's name for it is "partial contains 5.8S ribosomal RNA, internal transcribed spacer 2, and large subunit ribosomal RNA". The stretch from base 1 to 105 matches the Rfam family "5.8S ribosomal RNA", at positions 50 to 154 of the family's 154-position model. The record is from RNAcentral.
GAAAUGCGAUAAGUAGUGUGAAUUGCAGAAUUCAGUGAAUCAUCGAAUCUUUGAACGCACAUUGCGCCCCUCGGUAUUCCGUGGGGCAUGCCUGUUCGAGCGUCAUCUACACCCUCAAGCUCUGCUUGGUGUUGGGCGUCUGUCCCGCCUCCGCUCGCGGACUCGCCCCAAAUGCAUUGGCAGCGGUUCCUUGCCCCCCUCUUUGCGCAGCACAUUGCCAUUCGAGGCGGCGGCGGCCCGCGUCCAACAAGCUCAACCCCCCCGUCUUUGACCUCGGAUCAGGUAGGGAUACCCGCUGAACUUAAGC